GGCCCGCAAGCGCCGCGCGCAGCCCCGGUUCCUGCUCGCGCCUCUCCCUCCACACCUCCCUGCAAGCUGAGGGAGCGGCUCCGGCCUUGGCCAGCCCACAAAGGAGCUCCCACAGGGCAGCGGUGGGCUGAAGGGCUUCUCAAGUGCCGCGGAAGUGGGAGCUCAGGCAGAGGAGGCCCGGAGAGCGAGCGAGGGCUGUGAAGACUGCCAGCACGCUGUCAUCUCUCAAUUUGAGCAGAGAUUGGAUUCCCAGCAAAUAGUCUCUUAGAUGGAGUUUAGUGUUUAGGAUAUUAACUAUGGAGUGCCUUUAGAGUCAAUACAGGAGGGAGAGAAGGAAAGAAAACUGUGAAGAACAAGAAGUCAAUUUGCGGCAGCCACCACAGCUUAACUUAUGCAGCAGCCCUGGACCUCAUUUCAACGAAUCGGGUCAAUAUGGUGAGAAACAGAAAUGAAAUUUGAAGCUCCUCAGCUAACUGAAUGGACCCCCUCUUGGCCAAUGGGACUCCAGAGCAACCUUGAAAACUGAGCUUUUGGCCCUGAUGAGUAGGAGGUUCAAGCGAUUCUCCUGCCUCAGCCUCCCAAGUAGCUGGAUUACUGGCAUGCAACACCACUCUCAGCUGAUUUUGUAUUUUUAGUAGAGACGAGGUUUCUCCAUGUUGGUCAGGCUGAUCUGGAACCCCCGACCACAGGUGAUCCGCCCGCCUUGGCCUCAG
Long non-coding RNA from Symphalangus syndactylus (siamang), 713 nucleotides. RefSeq lists it as uncharacterized. The record is from RefSeq and is a predicted model, not a curated record. NCBI's taxonomy places the organism in Eukaryota, Metazoa, Chordata, Mammalia, Primates, Hylobatidae.